This 403-nucleotide ribosomal RNA is filed under the name uncultured bacterium. RNAcentral's name for it is "partial 16S ribosomal RNA". It matches the Rfam family "Bacterial small subunit ribosomal RNA", at positions 30 to 526 of the family's 1533-position model. The record is from RNAcentral.
AUUGAACGCUGGCGGCAGGCCUAACACAUGCAAGUCGAGCGAGCGGCGGACGGGUGUGUAAUGUAUGGGGACUGCCCGCUAGAGGGGGAUAACUACUGGAAACGGUAGCUAAUACCGCAUACUAUCGGAUAAUCCAUAUGGGAUUAGCUAGUAGGUGGGGUAAUGGCCCACAUAGGCGACGAUCCCUAGCUCGUCUGAGAGGAUGAUCAGCGAAACUGGAACUGAGACACGGACCAGACGCCUACGGAGGCAGCAGUGGGGAAUAUUGCACAAUGGGCGCAAGCCUGAUGCAGCCAUGCCGCGUGUAUGAAGAAGGCCCUAGGGUUGUAAAGUACUUUCAGUCGGGAGGCGUUACCGACAGAAGAAGCACCGGCUAACUCCGUGCCAGCAGCCGCGGUAAUAC